GAUGUGGUGGCUCAGUGGUUAAGCUUUUGUAUCACACAAAAGAAGGUCAUGUGUUCAAAUCCCAGGACCAUCA
Non-coding RNA from Ameiurus melas (black bullhead), 73 nucleotides. The record is from the annotation of a GenBank genome assembly. Lineage: Eukaryota; Metazoa; Chordata; Actinopteri; Siluriformes; Ictaluridae.